This 3186-nucleotide long non-coding RNA is filed under the name Papio anubis (olive baboon). RNAcentral's name for it is "lncRNA (ENSPANG00000040297.1)". Lineage: Eukaryota; Metazoa; Chordata; Mammalia; Primates; Cercopithecidae. The record is from RNAcentral.
AUGGCAGUUUCCCCUGGGCUUUUCUCUCUCUCUCUCCUGCGGACUCGCGAAGAAGUUGCUGGCUGCCCCUUUUGCCAUGAUUGUACGUUUCCUGAGGCCUCUCCAGCCAUGUGGAACUUUGUGGCCAUAGAAUGCUUGGGACAGCUUGGUUACAUAAAGAAGAUAACAAAUUCAAUGAAGAAACUCAGAAACGGAAAACUGACAAAUAGAAUAAACAAGUUUAUCAUAUUUCCAAAGGGAAAACAUAAAGGGUUUGCCAAGGGGAUUGUAAGGUUUGCUAAACUUCGAUGUGUGUGAGUGUAUAAUGUAGUUUCUAGGAAUUUUGGCCAUUUCCCUCAUAUAACACUGCUAAGUUACAGAGAAAGCAGACAAGUAAACAAAAUAUUUACAAACAUCUCAGAGGACAUUUAUGGGCCUUUGGCUUUACACACUCUCUUUGUGUUUGCUUCUUACCUCAAGUUGUUCUUCGUUUCCCAACAGAAAGAUAUCAUGUCUGUUUAUUAUUUAAGUCAGGCAGAUUUCCUCUAAAAACUACAUUCUCACAUAUCUCCAUAGAAAUAAUGAACACUGGUUUAUUUCAAAUCUUCCAAAUAUAACCAGAAGUAAAAAAUGUAAAAGGCAUUAAUCAUAUUAUUCCCUAUCUUUUAGACUUAUUUGGCUGGAUGACUCUAUGUGUAAAAAUUUAUUUUGAUUCUAACUAAAAAUUUAAUACAGUAACUGCUACAUUUCAAUUAUUUGGGGGCCCCCAAAAGUUGACAAAACAUAGUACUGGGGUUUAAUCUGCUUUUUGUGGAGUUCCCUAAAUUGCUUCAAAUGCAUUUUCUUUUUAACCCUAAUGUCAACAGCUGGAAAUCGAAUCAUGACAUGCUUCAUUAGUUAAAUGAAAAAUAUGAAAAAUAAAAAUUUGAUACACUAGUGUUAAUAUAAAGGUUACCUUUUUUUGUUCACUUCACAUCUCUAGUCAAUUUCACUCAGGAAGAGAAGGAUACUCCUCCUGCAGAAAGGGUAUUUGGCUGAUCCCACCUCUGUCUUGUACAUACAGAAGAUGAUUCUCCUCUCAAAGGAUUUUCUACUCAUUAUUCCUAUGAUCAGUGUGCCUUUUCAUAAACUAGGAAGAAACAAGUUUUCUAUGCACGUGGCAAUGAGUAAAUUGAGGCUUAUGGUUACUCAAAGCCCAUCUCAGUUCUGAAUGAUGAUUCUUUAGAUUUUCUAAAACAAUCAUGUUUUUGUGGAAGUGGGCAGUCUGUUCAGGAUUGGCCAUGAGCUGUGAAAGGAAUCAGGGAAAGUGAUCUCUGUGAGCCCUACUCCAUUUCCCUGGUGUACUUGCUUUCCUCAUCUCUGAGAAGGCAAAUUGAUGUCAUCUCCUCUGUCAUCAAACUUUCAACUUCACUUUCCCAUUCUUCACUAUCAGCUGGUGACCUCAUUUGUUAUUUCACUGAGAAAACAGAAGCAUUCAGAAGAAUAUGAUCUCAUCCUUGCAUCACCAAAUUGACCAACCUUUACAUGUUCUUGUAUAUCAACUUUUCUCUUGUUCAAAUGAGGAGUCCUGUGCUCUUCUAAGGUCACUGGUCCCAUCCAUCCUUCCACAACUAUCAUCUCUCUCUUGCAUCAUUAUUUUAUCUAACUAAAUUAUUCCCCUGAGGCUUCAAGUAUAAGGCCUUUUGUCUUAAAUAAAAACAAACCCUCUGUUGACCACAUACCCACGUCUAGCCCACUUCUUUGCUCUUCUUUAGUAAAAUUCCUGCCAUGACUGGGUAUACUCAAUAUAUUCUUAAUAUAUUGAACCUACUGUAAUCAGCUUUUCACCUUCACUAUUUCACAGAAACUGCUCUUGUUCAUAAAACCACUCACCUCCCCGUUUGACAAGCCAAAGGUCAGUUCUGUGUCACCUCCUGGCUUGUGCCCUGUGUAAUAUUUGGCACUGUCAACCACUCUUGCCUUUUUGAAUGCUUCCUUCUUUGAGCAUCUGAGAUGACACCACUCUCUUGGGAUUUGUUACCUCACUGAUUGCUCCUUCCCAACCCUGACCUCUCAAUGUUGGCACACCUCAGGUUUCAGGCCUCAGCUCUCCUUUUUCUUCCAUUUGUACACUUUUCCUAGCUGACUUAUUCUGUGUAAAUUUUUUUUUUUUUUUUUUUUUUUUUUUUUGUGAUGGAGUCUUGCUCAGUCACCCAGGCUGGAAUGUGGUGGUGUGAUCUCAGCUUACUGCAACCUCCGCCUCCCAGGUUCAAGUGAUUCUUCUGCCUCAGCCUCCUGAAUAGCUGGGAUUACAGGGCAUCUGCCACCAUGCCUGGCUAAUUUUUGCAUUUUUAGUAGAGACGAUGUUUCACCAUGUUGGCCAGGCUGGUCUCAAACUCCUGACCUCAAGUGAUCCACCUACCUCGGCCUCCCAAAGUGCUGGGAUUACAGGCAUGAGCCGCUGCACCCAGCCCUGUGUAAUGGUUUUAAACAUCUUCAGUAUGCUAAAGUUUAUAUUCUUCAGUCACGACUUCCCUCCUGAGAUUCAGAUUUGUGGGUGUAACUGGUUAUUUUAAGUUUCUGCUUGAAUGUCUAAUUGAGAUCUCAAAUGUUAGCGUGUCCAAAACAUAAUUCUUUAUAUUCUUACCCAAAACAUAUGAUUCCCUAAGCUUCUCCAACUGAAUAAGUAGCAUUAUAUUUUGUUCUGGUCCUCAAACUAGGAAGCAUAGUGGAUUUCUCUCUUUUCUUUACCCUCCAUACCCAAUCCGUUAACCAGCGCUGUUGGUUCUGCUUUUCUAAUACAUCCUGAAUCUGAUCACCCCUCACUGUUGUCACUGCUCCCAUCCAUUCUGGAACAGUUGACUGUCAUGCUAGGCCUGGCCUCCCAACAUAGCCUCUUCACUGGGCUUCGUGUUUCUUUUGUGCCAUUUCUGCAAUCAGCUUCUCAUUGGUUCCCAUCGCAUUUGGAAUAAAGCCCGUUAUUCUGCAUUAUCUAGUGUGGUCAAACUCUCCUACUACAUUCUCCUUGACUCCCUCCACUUGUGCUGUACUUACCGUUUUGACAUUCUUCGAACCAUCUGUGCUCCUACCUGCCUUAGAGCCUUUCCACACCUCUUCCCUUAAUGCUGAUGCUCUUCUCCCACUUCUUGAUAUAAUUCAGAUCUCUGCUCAGACAUCACCUUUUCAAAGAGACCUUCCCUAAUUGCAUGAUUAAACACAUUGCUGUCC